Molecule: ribosomal RNA, 497 nt
Filed under: uncultured bacterium
Lineage: Bacteria
Description: partial 16S ribosomal RNA
Rfam family: Bacterial small subunit ribosomal RNA
Source: RNAcentral
GAUGAACGCUGGCGGCGUGCCUAAUACAUGCAAGUCGAGCGAACAGGCGAGGAGCUUGCUCCUCUGACGUUAGCGGCGGACGGGUGAGUAACACGUGGAUAACCUACCUAUAAGACUGGGAUAACUUCGGGAAACCGGAGCUAAUACCGGAUAACAUGUUGAACCGCAUGGUUCAACAGUGAAAGACGGUCUUGCUGUCACUUAUAGAUGGAUCCGCGCCGCAUUAGCUAGUUGGUAAGGUAACGGCUUACCAAGGCAACGAUGCGUAGCCGACCUGAGAGGGUGAUCGGCCACACUGGAACUGAGACACGGUCCAGACUCCUACGGGAGGCAGCAGUAGGGAAUCUUCCGCAAUGGGCGAAAGCCUGACGGAGCAACGCCGCGUGAGUGAAGAAGGUCUUCGGAUCGUAAAACUCUGUUAUUAGGGAAGAACAAAUGUGUAAGUAACUAUGCACGUCUUGACGGUACCUAAUCAGAAAGCCACGGCUAACUACGUG